CAGUGUGAUGGAAAACAGGGGAAGCCGCACCAGACUGUGCCGAGAAAGAUGUGGCAAAUGAUCGCCCAGCACCGUCUGGAA
This is a small nucleolar RNA of Mangifera indica (mango), 81 nucleotides long. NCBI's taxonomy places the organism in Eukaryota, Viridiplantae, Streptophyta, Magnoliopsida, Sapindales, Anacardiaceae. The record is from RefSeq and is a predicted model, not a curated record.